UGUUCUAUUCUGAGUAGGAGGAAAAGAACCAUAACGAGAAUAAACAAGAGGAACCCAAUAUUGGAGAAGAGAAGAAAGAGGAAGCUGAGCUGGCGCAUUUGAAACCAAGGAAAUAAGAGGAGCCAAACCUCGAACUUUACAGUUGCAACCCUUCUCAUCAGACUCAAGUUGUUUGGGUUCGACAAGGACGGAGACCAGUGGAAUGAAUCAGAUGUCAAUGUGGUAAUACAAUGAUGAGCUGCGUUUUUGUGCAAAUGAACAAUGACUCAUGUUCAUCAGCAUGCUUUUAUCAAGUAUCUUUUUUCUGGUUUUGGCUAAGAUUCAGCUCUAAUGGAUUUGUUGUGUCCCGUGUAAAGAUAUCAUUACUUGACUUGAACUAAGUGCCUGAGCUACAAGAUAUGCAAGGAGUUGCAGCCGAAUUAGAGGAUAAAGUGAGAUCUCAAACUGAUUUGUUGGGUGCUAAAGACCAAGGUGGGUAUUGUGUGAUUCUGUGUCUUUAAACUUGAAAUAUAUGUUUGAAAAAUGAGAAUUUACAACGGAUGUUUUAGUUGUACAACUGCUCAUUUAGAUUUUGAGCACAUGUUUGAAAUUAUGGUACAAUUAAAUUUCAUCUUUUUAUCAGUUGUCAGAACUUAUUUCAAUUUGUUUGCAUUGUUGGAAUUAGAAGCUAUUUUGUAUGUAGGGUGUAUGAUUGAUUUAUCCGUGUCAGGUCGGUUUUAGGAUGUCAUGGUCUCAUCCUUUGGUUUUGAAAAAUUGCCAAUGUUUUGAUUCAUGGUGCUUGCUGCAUGUGGUACCUUGAGUCAAUUCAAGGCGUGAUACUCAAAAUGAGUUGAAUUAGCUGUAGAAAUUUAUAUAUCCUUUAAAAGUUUGAUUUUAUUAUAUCAUAGUAAUGUAGUAUUCUAUUGUCAGAGAAGUAAAAUUUGUUUGUUGUAUUUUUUAACCUUUGUUCUUCCGUCAAAUAUGGUCAUUUGACGCGCAUCGCCACUAUCAUUG
This is a long non-coding RNA of Lotus japonicus, 993 nucleotides long. RefSeq lists it as uncharacterized. The transcript has 4 exons. The record is from RefSeq and is a predicted model, not a curated record. NCBI's taxonomy places the organism in Eukaryota, Viridiplantae, Streptophyta, Magnoliopsida, Fabales, Fabaceae.